Long non-coding RNA from Felis catus (domestic cat), 2567 nucleotides. RefSeq lists it as uncharacterized. The record is from RefSeq and is a predicted model, not a curated record. The transcript is spliced from 5 exons. NCBI's taxonomy places the organism in Eukaryota, Metazoa, Chordata, Mammalia, Carnivora, Felidae.
UCCAGCCGCCCCGGGGCAACUCAUUUUCUGCAGAGCGUCUUGUAGGACUGGGGGCCAGUCAGGGAGGCGCGCUGUGGGAAUAUGGCAGAGGGCCUUUGUGACACACGUCUGUCAUGACUUGAAGGUGUCGUGGUGAAGGUGUGCCUGCACGGACCCGCUCGCAGCCGAGGAAAUAAAGAGCAGGGAUGAGCAAUGAGCCGGCUGCCUGGGGUGGAGCCCUCCCAGACCAUCGUGUUGUUGCUGUUUUCUGUGACUUCCAGUAGCAGAGACCAUGCCAUGCACCUGAUCUCUACCUGGCCCUGUGGUCUCCUUGCCUCUUUGAUUCUGGUGUGGCUGGCUGCGUGAGGAACCCACCAGAUCAGGCUGAGUCCAGGCAGUCGUUAGGAUCAGCUUUCCCUCAGAACAGAUGGAGCCAGAGGUAUGGUGGUCUUAAUCUCUACUCUCUCCUUCCUGUGACGGGUGACCUUCAGUUGAGGCACAGUCCCCCAGUAAUAGCCAGUUAGAAACAGCAGGGUGUGUAGACUCACGCCGCUGUCGCUAGCUCCCUGUUCUGCAAACUUCUCCACUGCUCCCCUCUGUGACCUUGAGCAAAUCACAACCUGAGCCUGUCAUCUCAUCUGUGAAACCUGCAAGGCUCCCCCCGUCUAAUUACAGUUCCUAAUUGUACAGAAUCACAAUUCGCUUGGCGCGAAGCAAGCUUUGCUGACCUUUUCCCAUGACUGGCCAUUCUUGGGCCUGCAGUGGGGGUGGUGAGCAAAUUCUGUUCCUCCCUCACGCUGUGUGCAAGUCUCCGCCCGUUUGCUCCCCCUUGGGGAACAUUGCGAAACGCUCAGACCACCUAUAAGAGGUUGUCUUCGAGCCCAGGUUUCCGGACAAAAGGCCCAUGAGGGGCUCGAGGUCGUGUGGAGACAGAGGGCAUGUUUGCAGCUGUGGCCGCUGAGCCAAGAAGAGCGGUCCUCGUGCCUCGUGGCCUGAUUGAACCCGCUCAUCUGGCGUCCUGUGCCUGGUCUGAGAGAUGUCUACACUGGCAGGGCUGCCAGGCCAGGGCUUCCGGAAUUGGAAUGUGCCCCUGAGCCACCUGCUGGUCUUGUUAAAAUGUCCAUUCUGCUUCAGUCUGUCUGGCAUCGAUGGGUUGGGCAGAUGAUGGGCCCCCAGAAUGUCCACGUCCUAAUCCCCGGAACCUCUGACUGUGGUGGGUGAUAGGCUGGGGAGGAUAAAGGCUGCUAGUCAGCUGACCUGGAGAUGGGAGAUGAUCCUGGCCCAUCCAGGUGGGCCCAGUGGAGGUCUGACGGAUGCAAUGUGAGACGGAACCAGCUGCUUCUGCUGGCCUUGAAAAGGGAACCGGGGAGCUUUGAGGCAAGGAAUGCAGGUGCCUUCUAGAAGCUGGAGCAAGCAAGAAAACGGAUCUUCCUCUAGAGCCUCCAGGGUGACAUAGCCCUGCCAACAUCUUGCUUCUAGCCCCAGGAGACCUGUUUCAGACUUCUGCCCUCAGCCACUGUGAGGUCAUACUUCCGCGUUGUUUUGAGUUACUAAGUGUGUGGUCAGCUGUUACAGCAGCAAUAGGAAACUGAUACAGGUUGCAUUUCUGACAAGCUCCCGGGUGAUACUGAGGCUUGAGGCUGUCUGAGUAUGGCACUUACACCUGAGUGACCUGGGUGACAGCUUGAAGAGCUUGUGUGCUUCAUGUGAGCCCUGGCAGCUGCCGGAAACAGUUUCUGGUCUUGAAGCUCACCUCGGUGAGAGCAGCAUGGGCUGAGAACACGGGAGCUGACUUCAGGUGUAACGGGAGGGCUGCAGGCUAGACCGCAAAGGAACAGCUCCCCGCUGACAGAAUGCUUGGAGAGACCCCAGGGAGAGCCCCGUGGCGACCACAGCACCGGCCUCCAGGUUACCCCAAGCACAUGAGGCUGGAGAAGGUUCUGGAGUGUCUUCAAGCGGUUCAAGGCUUCUGCCAGAAACAAUUGGGAAAACAGAAUGCAGCCCAGGAUCGAAAGAAUCUAUCCAUUCCUCUGGAAUUCUCCAUCUGUCCGGCUGGGCCCCAUAUUAACAUUUGAGUAAUUCCCUAAUGUGAAGUCGCCAGGCUUUAAAAAUAGUGCAGGCAGGCUUGAGUUUGCUAGUGGUUUCUCGCCUUCAAAUGUUGGCCUCAAGCCCUCUGUCCCCCUUGAACAUUCUCCACACCCCUGCCUAUCAUAAUUCCCUUGCCUGUCCUAAUUCAACCCAUUCAUUUAUAUGUACAGUGUUUGUCACCCCCCUUCUCUGUGCUGGACAUUGGUGGGUCUUGGGGUCGGUGGUGAGCAAAAUAGCUGUCACCAUCAUGAAACUCAGUCUGUGAAGAGGCAGGCCAAUUAAAAUCGGGUUAUUAGUGAUGGUUUCUAUAAAGCAGUGCUUCUCUGCUAUCUGUGAGCAAAGACCUAUUAUUUUUCAUUUCCCAUCAAACAUGGUCCUACUGUGCAUGAUUUGUGUGUAGUUUGUAUUGUGAGUUGGAUGAUACUUCACCCUGUCUAAUGAGAUGGGUCCACCCAUCUCCUGCUUGGAUGCCCUAUAAUAAAAGUUUCUAAACCCUCAAA